UACGAGGGGGGCAAAUGUUGUUCAGAAUCACUGGGCGUAAAGGGAGCGUAGGCGGGUUUUUAAGUCAGGUGUUUAAUCCCGGGGCCCAACCCCGGACAGGCACUUGAAACUGGGAAUCUUGAAUAGUGGAGAGGUCAGUGGAAUUGGGGGUGUAGCGGUGGAAUGCGUAGAGAUCCCCAAGAACACCCGUUGCGAAGGCGGCUGACUGGACACAUAUUGACGCUGAGGCUCGAAAGCAUGGGGAGCAAACAGG
This 253-nucleotide ribosomal RNA is filed under the name uncultured bacterium. RNAcentral's name for it is "partial 16S ribosomal RNA". It matches the Rfam family "Bacterial small subunit ribosomal RNA", at positions 524 to 776 of the family's 1533-position model. The record is from RNAcentral.